This 490-nucleotide ribosomal RNA is filed under the name uncultured bacterium. Its description in RNAcentral is "partial 16S ribosomal RNA". It matches the Rfam family "Bacterial small subunit ribosomal RNA", at positions 30 to 507 of the family's 1533-position model. The record is from RNAcentral.
AUUGAACGCUGGCGGCAGGCCUAACACAUGCAAGUCGAACGGUAACAGGAAACAGCUUGCUGUUUCGCUGACGAGUAGCGGACGGGUGAGUAAUGUCUGGGAAACUGCCUGAUGGAGGGGGAUAACUACUGGAAACGGUAGCUAAUACCGCAUAACGUCGCAAGACCAAAGAGGGGGACCUUCGGGCCUCUUGCCAUCGGAUGUGCCCAGAUGGGAUUAGCUAGUAGGUGGGGUAACGGCUCACCUAGGCGACGAUCCCUAGCUGGUCUGAGAGGAUGACCAGCCACACUGGAACUGAGACACGGUCCAGACUCCUACGGGAGGCAGCAGUGGGGAAUAUUGCACAAUGGGCGCAAGCCUGAUGCAGCCAUGCCGCGUGUAUGAAGAAGGCCUUCGGGUUGUAAAGUACUUUCAGCGGGGAUGAAGGGAGUAAAGUUAAUACCUUUGCUCAUUGACGUUACCCGCAGAAGAAGCACCGGCUAACUCCGUG